CCUACGGGAUGCAGCAGUGAGGAAUAUUGGUCAAUGGGCGGGAGCCUGAACCAGCCAAGUCGCGUGAGGGAAGACGGUCCUAUGGAUUGUAAACCUCUUUAGGCGGGGAGCAAUGCCGGGCACGCGUGCCCGGAGGGAGAGUACCCGCAGAAUAAGCAUCGGCUAACUCCGUGCCAGCAGCCGCGGUAAUACGGAGGAUGCGAGCGUUCUCCGGAUUUAUUGGGUUUAAAGGGUGCGUAGGCGGAUUUUUAAGUCAGCGGUAAAAUGUCCGGGCUCAACCCGGGCCGGCCGUUGAAACUGGGGAGCUUGAGUGGGCGAGAAGUAGGCGGAAUGCGUGGUGUAGCGGUGAAAUGCAUAGAUAUCACGCAGAACUCCGAUUGCGAAGGCAGCAUACCGGAGCCCGACUGACGCUGAGGCACGAAAGCGUGGGGAUCGAACAGGAUUAGAUACCCUUGUAGUC
This 460-nucleotide ribosomal RNA is filed under the name uncultured bacterium. RNAcentral describes it as "partial 16S ribosomal RNA". It matches the Rfam family "Bacterial small subunit ribosomal RNA", at positions 338 to 795 of the family's 1533-position model. The record is from RNAcentral.